GACGAACGCUGGCGGCGUGCUUAACACAUGCAAGUCGAACGGAAAGGCCCUGCUUUUGUGGGGUGCUCGAGUGGCGAACGGGUGAGUAACACGUGAGUAACCUGCCCUGGACUGUGGGAUAACUUCAGGAAACUGGGGCUAAUACCGGAUAGGAGCUCCUGCUGCAUGGUGGGGGUUGGAAAGUUUCGGCGGUUGGGGAUGGACUCGCGGCUUAUCAGCUUGUUGGUGGGGUAGUGGCUUACCAAGGCUUUGACGGGUAGCCGGCCUGAGAGGGUGACCGGCCACAUUGGGACUGAGAUACGGCCCAGACUCCUACGGGAGGCAGCAGUGGGGAAUAUUGCACAAUGGGCGGAAGCCUGAUGCAGCAACGCCGCGUGCGGGAUGACGGCCUUCGGGUUGUAAACCGCUUUCGCCUGUGACGAAGCGUGAGUGACGGUAAUGGGUAAAGAAGCACCGGCUAACUACGUG
Molecule: ribosomal RNA, 468 nt
Filed under: uncultured bacterium
Lineage: Bacteria
Description: partial 16S ribosomal RNA
Rfam family: Bacterial small subunit ribosomal RNA
Source: RNAcentral